UCAUUGGCUUUUCUAAAAGCCAAUCAUAAUUAUAUGGAACAAUUAA
Rattus norvegicus (Norway rat) is the source of this 46-nucleotide non-coding RNA. Lineage: Eukaryota; Metazoa; Chordata; Mammalia; Rodentia; Muridae. The record is from Rfam.